Molecule: long non-coding RNA, 7850 nt
Filed under: Lactuca sativa (garden lettuce)
Lineage: Eukaryota; Viridiplantae; Streptophyta; Magnoliopsida; Asterales; Asteraceae
Description: long non-coding RNA (LSAT_LNC008345)
Source: RNAcentral
CAUGCCCAUAUAUGUAUAGUUAUAUAAGUACUGUUUAAAGGACUUAGGAAGGCUAGUUCACUUUAUUUCCUUUUCCUCGUUGGGAUGUGGCUUUAGGGUAUCGGUUAGUCGUCCGAAUGUCGUCUAAAUAUUAGUUAUAUACCAUGUAUACAUAUAUAGACAUAAAAGUUUACACAGUCAGUUCAGUACCUUUGGGUAGCAAAGGCAUACUUUCGGUUAUACACGUACAUUAUUAGUAACUAUUAUAGGUAUAGUUAGGAGAUACUACUUACCAUUCCAAGUACAAGGAAUCACACAAGAGUCAAUUCAUUCAUGAGUCUAUGCUAUUACAUUACAUGUUACAUGAAUACAUUUACAUAGAUACGUUUACAUAGAUACCCUUACAUGGAUACCCUUACAUGGAUACUCUUACAUGGAUACUCUUACAUGGAUACUUUUACAUGGAUACACUUACAUGGAUACUUUUAUGUAGAUACUAUAUGAUGAGAUACUAUUACAUAUUAUAUGUAUAGAUACUAUUAUAUAUAAUUCUCCUUCUUAUUUUAUUUUGUGAUACAUUCACAUAAUUGAUGAGAUAGACUGGACUUAAUAUCCUAGUACCAAAGGAUACUUUAAGGGACUAACCAUUCCUACACCCAGCUGUUAGCCACAGAGGUAAAUGCACACCCACGGAUGUCUACGGUUGAUACCAUUAUAGGUAUACUUUAAGGGACUAACUAUUCCUACACCCAGCUAUUAGCUACAGAGGUAAAUGUACAUCAACGGAUGUCUACAGUUAAUGCUAUUAGUUAUCCUAGUAUAAAAGGAUAAUACUUAAGUUAUUUACAUUAUUACCUUUAUCUUGUGACACAUUCACAUAACUGAUGAGGUAAAUUAUGUUUGAGUAUCCUAGUACCAAAGGAUACAAUUUCGUAUAUUAAUAAUAAUAGUCAUACAGUUGGGUCUUGGUAGAAGGCUACUUUCAAAAUAGUCGGGUCUUGGUAGAAUGCUACUUUCAAAACAGUCGGGUCUUGGUAGAAGGAUACUUUCAAAACAUUCGGGUCUUGGUAGAAGGCUACUUUCAAAACAUUCGGGUCUUGGUUGAAGGCUACUUCUAAAACAGUCAAGUCUUGGUAGAAGACUACUUUUUAUAGUAGUAGAAAUCAUAGGGAAUUUCUAGGGUUCUCAAACGUUAUUCGACUACUUACAAACAUUUUCAUACUUAUACAAACAUUUCUCCAAAUGUUUACAAGUCUUUACUUUCCAGUUUUACAAAUCAAAGACACAUUAAUACUUAUGAAUUCACCAGCUUUUUGGCUGAUAUUCACUUUCAAAAUAACUUGUAUUCUCUGGUCACAUAUAGACAGGUACGACGACCAGUUUAUGUGAAGACGAAGCAGUCGAGACUCAUCUUUUAUUUUGAACAUUCAUUAUGUUGUUUAUUAUAUGAAAGAAUACACUUGUAAUCAAAAUUAUACUAUUAAUGAAAUGGAUGAUGUUGUUGCUUGUUUACUACUUUGUAUUGUUGUGAUACUUGACAUGACGUCCUUCGCCCCAGAACGUUUCCGUCGUUCCUAGUUUUUGGGUGUGACGGAUUGGUAUUAGAGCAUUGUUUAUAGUGAAUUGAGUAUAUCAACCCAUAAAAGAUAUACAGAAUAUAAAUACAUUGGGAUUAAAAUACUCUGACCAAGAGUUUAUACUUUAAAUAAUAAAAUAUUUAAUUAAGUAUACGUGCCUGCAUUCAUACUAAAAUCGGUGUCACUAGGACAAUACAAAAGAAUUACGAUCGUUGGGAAACACAAGUGGACUUAGAGACAUAUAGUCAAAACUGGAAGAUAUAGCCUGAUCAACUAUAUUAUCCGAGGUUGACUAGCAUGUGCCUAAGUGUAGUUGUGAGGUUGCAACAAGUCUAAAAUCUUACCAACAAUACCACAAUGAGAACAAUAGAACAUAAACCUAAAAUACUACAGGAGUAUUUUGUGUUACUAUAAGCUACUUAUGUGCUAGAUUCUCAUAUCCCUUUUCUCGCGUAGAUAAUAUGGUUAGAUUCCAUCCCUACGACAACUUGUACUUACGUAAUCAAGGUAAUGAAGGCGGUUUUGAAGCUGAUCCAGGAAAUGACCACCCAAUCCCUGAGGAUGGUCAUAAGGAUGAAGGCUUAGGAGAGGGUUCCGACCCCGAGCCUGAAGUAGAGAAUCUACCCCCGAUGGCUCUUGUUCCAAAUCCUAACCCUCGUCUGGCUUUUCAAUGCCCGACGCCCCCGUGAGUGGAAAGCUUGGAAACAUGGAGCCAAGGACAGGAUCAGCCCAUGCCAUUCAAUAGAGACCGAAGCUUUUAUGACCUGAGCCAUGGGGGCUCAGUAGACAGAGUCUUGCGAAUCCUGGUCUGCAGAGUGGCCUGAAAUGAGAUUCAAGGCAGGACAGCCCUACAUCAGAUCACAGAAGUUGUCCCCAAUGCGAGAAUGCAUACCCUCUGCACCAUUCGUUUGGAAGAUGCUCGUGAGAGAUCUGAGAGAGACCACGAAACCCUGCUUCAAGCACUGGCUGAAUCACAAGCCGAAGUCAUAGAACUCUGAGUACGCCAUAGGGUGUACAAAAGACACCUGCUUGAUGUGGAACGUCAACUGGCUGAACUAAGGGUUCACCAGAGGGAUGACCGUCACCGGUAGCNGCCUUACUUUAUUUCCCUAUUGAAAGGAAUCGUUUUUCCUAUCUAUGUCCUAUGUGACAUUUUUCUAUGAAACUAUCUUGUACUGUAGGUACUUUUAGUUAGGCUUUCAUGCAGCCAAAACCUUUCUACUCUGGAUAUGAUGUAAGACCUUCUACCAGGUCAAUUUUUCCCGAACUUAUUUCAUCAUGAAUAUCAAAGAUGUUGACAGUCAGCUACCUUCUGUGUCAUUCUUUAUUCAAAUAUUUUCAUCAUGCUAUCAUGGGAGUCUAUUUGAAACCCACUCUAGUCGAGUUAUUGAACUAGGGUAAUUUAGCUCAGGGAUCAUCCCUAAUUCUUUUUCAAGGGUUGGAUCAUGUUAUUUACCAACCGAUGGUACCUUGUUUUAAACGUCAAGCGUCUUAAGACCAUUUUACGAACUUACUACCACUCUUUACUAGGACUACAUCAUAGGGAUGUUGGUAAAACCUUUGUGAACAUACUUCCAAUCCGUACUAGGACUGGAUGUAGGUCAAACCUUUGAGAACAUAUUCUUACUCUUUACUUGAGCGAUCGAAGUACAUCUAGGGUCAACCAAAAUCGCUCACAAAAUCCUUAUCUUUCAUAUUACAGAAUCAUGUCGUCAUCCGGAAACAGUCAUCCAAGCGACGAAACCCCUGCCUUUCCUAUGGACACUGCUACUUUCCAAGCCGCAGUUACAGUUGCCGUGAUGGUUGUCGUGACAGCUGUCCUUGCAAACCGUAGCACUAUCAACGCAAGCAAUGCUGACAAAGGGGUUGAAAAUCUCAAUCGUAGUAUCAAUCCGGGAAGUCAUCAAAUGAUAACAGUUGCAGACUCGCAAAACUGUAAAACAGAGAACAAGAAACGAAAGCGUCAAGCCCAAAAGGAACGCAAGCAAUAUGAGGGAACACUCCCGAAGUGUAACAAGUGUAGCUAUCAUCAUAAUGGAGCAUGUCGGGUAUUGCAAUGUAUCAAUUGCAAUAGACUGGGACACAUUGCCCGUUUCUGUAGAACCACCCCCACCACUAGAGCCAGCCAGGGUUGCUAUAAUUUUGGUGAGACUGGACACUAUAAAAGGAAUUGCCCAAAAAGGAAGAAAAUCGAAAGCACCCGCAUCCAUGUAACUCCGACCCAACACAUCACUUACACCACCAAUGCUAGUACCAGCCAGAUAUGUCACCAAUGUGGUGAAAUUGGGCACCUUAAAAAGGAUUGUCCAAUAACAAAGAACUCCGACGCAGACGGCAGAAUUCUAAGGAUCACUACCGCAGGAGAGACUACUCCGGACCCACGUUAAUGUAAUUAAGGCAUUUCGUUGUAACAGACUUAUAAACUGUUCAAAACUAGUGCAACUAGAGUCUUAUCUUUUGCGAGAUCCCAUUGGUAAAAGGAUGCUCGUGCUGUGUAUACUUGUCUUUUGUAGUAUACCUUGUUCGCAGCAAUAGUCUUGUAGUAAAUCUAAUGUACUGUAACUCUGUUAAAGGUUGCACUGGUGUGUUUUUUCUGUAACGCCUUAUGUUCAAAUCUAAUGUCUUUAGUCCCCAUAUGAUUCCGACAUUAUCAUACAACUAGAUUCAAUUUGAUUCGCAAUACCAGUUCCAUACGUACAUCUCUUUCUCCGAAAUUGCCUUUCCAGCGAAGCAGUCAUACCAGAAUAUCGAAGUACUCAUGCAUGGAGUACCUCAUGUUUCUUAUCCUUUCCGAUGGAACCUCAAAAAACCUCCCCGAAGUACCACUCGUACAGUAUGUCAAGUUCAAUACAAGGACUCUUACGGUUAAUCUAUCCAUGAAGGAUGUAUACACAAGGGUGGCAUAUAAUCAAGGUUCUAUAGAUUUAGAAUUAAUGAUUCCCCUUUAACUUCUUUUCCUCGUUGGGAUGUGAGCUUAAAGAAGAAUCAUUUAUUCGACUAUCUUUUCAAUCUUAAUUAUAUACGACUCGUAUACAUGAGAUGGUGAUCGUUGAACCAUGUAUGAAUUCUAAUAUGAACUUCAGGACGGAGACUGCCCAAGACUACAAGUAAUCGCAUCGUCAUGUGAACAAACUUAGAACCCAAUACGACUCCUAUAACCAGAUCGCCCUACAGUCUAAAAACCCACAGAGAGACAAGAGCAGUCCAGACAACUUAGCAAACUACUCGGCAAAAGAAUAGGAAGACCAAGCUUCUCGCCCUGGAGAACUCUGGUCUUAUUCUUCAAAAAGGUGGACGAAUAGUAUCAUAAGUACAUCGACUAUCAGAGACCUCGUCAAGAUUUCAAUUGGAAAUCAUUAUAUCUGCCUCGCAUGAAUGUGUGGGCUAAGCAAACAUGGGGAACGAAUUACCUUUAAGAAAUGGACCUAAAAUCUGAAUAUCACCAGUUUCGAGUGUUAGCGAAGGUUGUCCUGAAUGCGACCUUCCAAACUCGAUGCGGACACUAUGAGUCCGUAGUGAUACCCCGCAGAUAGGACCAAUACGCCGUAGUAUUCAGGAACUUAAUGAAUAGGGUAAGUUGUUCUUACUUGGAUCAGUUCGUCAUUGUCUUUGUAAAUAACUUACUUAUCUACUCUCGUAGUAAGAAGGAAAUCAUAAGGAGCACCUACAACAAACCAUGGAAACAAUGCGAUCAUGGAAACUUUGCGCGAAGUUCUCUAAAUACGAGUUUUGGAAUUGAAGAGUCAAAUUCCUAAGACACGCUAUUAGUGGUGUGGAUAUUCUUGAGGACCCUUUCAAUUUAUCAAGACCGUUGAGAAUUUUUCAGCACCGAAGGCGCCAACGGGAAUUCGCCAAAUUUUAGGUCUUGCAGACCUACUAUCGUAGUUCAUUUGGAACUCCUCGCAAAUUACGGAACCUCUUAUGACUUUGACCCAUAAGGGAGUGGCCCUUGACUGGGAAGAGGAGCAAGAGGGAGAAACCCUUGGAACUCCAGGUGAGAGGCCAAAUCCUUUUGGAAGUCUCACUCUGGGAAGGCUUAAUACACUUCGUAGAGCGUGGAAAGCUAGAUUCAAGAUAGUUAGGACCUCCGAGAUUCUUGCCAUAAUCGGCCCUAUAUCUCACAAACUCAAUCUACCUCGCGAGCUUAGAAACAUACAUUCUACCCUUCACGUCUCGAACUUGCAAAAAGUAUCGAUCUGACGAGACUCUUGAAAUCCCACUCGAAGAGAUCGAGUUCCACAAGAGCCUCACCUGCGUGGAAGAACCGCAGUGAUCAUGGACCGAGAGGCCAUGCGAACGAUUCAUAGCCGUUUCCCUUUAAGUGAAGGUUCGCUGGAAUGCCAACCAAGGACCUGAAUUCACUUGGGAGCGCGAGAAUCAAUCGAUUAGGAAGUAUCCCCAAUUUUUGGCUCGAUUAUUCAUGCUUACUUCCUUUACCUAAAUUCUAAUUUCGGGACAAAAUUCCUUCUAACGGGGGGAUGAUGUGACAACCCGAAAUUUCUAUUAUGUACAACCCUUCACUUCAAUAGAAGUCAAAACAGUUUCUGCAAACUCUCAAGCUUUUUGGAAUAAGUUUGAGUAUGUUAGGAUUAACACUUUAGGAGAUAUCAGGAGGGAGGAUGCUCUAGGGUUUAUUGUGCAAAAAUAGUACCCCAAAGCUUCAAGAGUUGGAUUUUAUGGCCGUAAACCCUAAAAGGGUGUAUAUAUUUGACACUUAGUCAUUAUUUACACUUUUUCAACAUUUCAAGAUCCAAAAUCCAAUUCUCUCUCAAGUAGCUUCGACUUUUGCUCCUAGAUCUUCAACUAGUAAGUGUUUCUAACCCUUUUAAGUUGGUAUAUCACUUAAUCUAGUGUUUUAACACACUUCCAUCCGUAAAAAUGUUCCAAAAGGCUAGAUCUUCAAGUUUCACCAAGAACACCGAGAACACACACUAGUCUUCUUGGCCUUUUGGUACCAAUUCAAGCCUUUAUCUAGUAAAUACUCCUACCCUAGUGUAUUGUAAAGCUUGUUACACUUUCAUACAUCAAGAAAACACCAUUGAAACCCAAGAUCAAAGGUGUUUACGGUCCAAGAACACCGUGGACCGUAAACCCUAAUUUAGGGGCCAAAGUGACCCUAGUCCCUUCACAAGCUUUGGAAACUAGUCUAGACUCAUUCCUUGAUAUGUUUAGGACUUGAAAACAUCAAAAUACCAUAAUACAUAAGGGUUUACGGUAGUAAACCCAAAAGGAAAUGGUCUUAGGGUCAUAAACUCCUCAAAGGAGGGAAAUGGUGCCCUAAUCUCUUCCAAAGGCUUAACCAUCAAGUAGAAAUGCUUCUAAAGGACUUGUAGAGCUUCAAAAACAACAAAUGGUCAAAAGAAAAAGAGUUUAUGGCCAUAAACUCAUGUGUUUACGACCGUAAACCCAUGGGGUUAUGGUCACAAAACCGUAAACUCCAAGGGAGUUUACCCUUGAACCCUAAACACAAUAGCAAGGUCCUACAGCACUUAGAUGCAAUCCUUAUGACUUGUAGCACUUAUAUAAGGUGUUUUACAUGUCUUAGGAUGUCUUAACUUUGUCAAUUAGUAGUUUAAAGACUAAUUGGAUACAUAUAUGUGUUAUUAUAUGUUAACUAGGAUCAUUGAGUGUGUACAAGUCUUCACUUGACACCUAGCAUCCUACCUUAUCCGUUCAUCCAAACCACCAACUAUAGGUGAGUUCAUACCCCUUAAUUAACCUUUUAAAUGUUCUGUAAAUGUCUAUAAAUGCUUUAUGGGGGGAUACAAGUUGAAUCAUAUUUAGUUAUUAUAUCAAUCACAUGUGAUUAAUAACUAGCAUGCAUAUGGAUUUGCUAUACAUUAACCAUUUUACCAGACAGAUUCCUUCAAAUGACUUUCUUAAACGUUUUUAUAUGUUUAAAACUCUUUAUUAAACUAUCUUACAUACUGUAUGUUUCCUUUUAAACUCUUUUACAACUGAGUUUCAAACAAAGGUCUUCCUUAUACUUAAACUGUCUUAUCAAACAAAAUACUUUCAAAUCGUUUUACAAACUGACAUCAAGUCGUCGUUUCUUAGUAUUAAACUUUUCAAAGGUUUUACAAAAANAUAUAUAUAUAUAUAUAGUUAUAUAAGUAAUGUUUAAAGGACUUAGGAAGGCUAGUUCACUUUAUUUCCUUUUCCUCAUUGGGAUGUGGCUUUAGGGUAUCGGUUAGUCGUCCGAAUGUCGUCUAAAUAUUAGUUAUAUACCAUGUAUACAUAUAUAGACAUAAAAGUUUACACAGUCAGUUCAGUACCUUUGGGUAGCAAAGGCAU